RNAcentral lists this ribosomal RNA (443 nucleotides) under uncultured bacterium. RNAcentral's name for it is "SSU rRNA". It matches the Rfam family "Bacterial small subunit ribosomal RNA", at positions 26 to 518 of the family's 1533-position model. The record is from RNAcentral.
AGAACGAACGCUGGCGGCAGGCUUAACACAUGCAAGUCGAACGCCCUCGCAAGGGGGAGUGGCAGACGGGUGAGUAACACGUGGGAACAUACCCUUCGGUUCGGAACAACGCCGGGAAACUGGCGCUAAUACCGGAUACGGCUUUUGAGCGAAAGAUUUAUCGCCGAAGGAUUGGCCCGCGUUCGAUUAGCUUGUUGGUGAGGUAACGGCUCACCAAGGCGACGAUCGAUAGCUGGUCUGAGAGGAUGGCCAGCCACAUUGGGACUGAGACACGGCCCAAACUCCUACGGGAGGCAGCAGUGGGGAAUAUUGGACAAUGGGCGCAAGCCUGAUCCAGCCAUGCCGCGUGAGUGAUGACGGCCUUAGGGUUGUAAAGCUCUUUCGCACGCGACGAUAAUGACGGUGCGUGAGAGAAGCCCGGCUAACUUCGCGCCAGCAGCCGC